GAAAUUGAGCCAUUUGGAGCAACAUUCCAGAAUAUCAAAUUCCUGGGACUAACACCACACUACUCUUUUUAAGUUGAAAAAAUUGCCAGCAGAAAGAGCUCUUAGAAAUGUAUCAUCCAUGAAGAGACUCCUUUGUGACUGUCAACAGCAUCCUCCAGCCAACCAGCAUUCCUUACUGGCUCACUGCCAUGAACCAAGACAGAUCAGCAGCUUCCUGAAAACAAGUCAACAAAACUGUUACAUUGGAGCCCUUUCAUCCCGAAAUGAUUCCCAGAGUGCACCUUUACUCACCAACCCUGAUUAGAAGGAAAACUGCCACAGAAUGCUGAGUCUAAAGAGUGAACUGAAGGAGACAAGUGCAUGAUGGGUAUAUAGAGGGACAACCUGCACACUACCAAGGAGACAGGCAACAAUGCUGAGUGACUGACAAUGUGUCAUGUAGAAUGAUGCCUGAGGUGAUGAGUUCUCCUCCAACUGAACAAGAAGAUUCUACCGACGUUGUCGUCUUUGCACAUUCCUGACUCAAUGAGAUGAAUGGGAAAGGCCAAGAGACACCAAGUUUGCAUGGUGAUCACAUAGAAUUACCUCUCCAGGACAGUUACUGUAAGGUAGAAUUAUGUAACGACUCAAAACAAGCAAGUGUUUCUGUGAAAUUGAGUAAGAGCACUUGUGUGUUCUGCUUAACUUCCCUCUCUGAUGUUCUUUCAGUAUGUGGUCUUAGGUUCUUUUGCUGUGCUACCUCAUAACUUCCCUGACAAAGCAAAGGAAACUCUACAUGUGAAUUAUUUGUAAAUGUGUCUGGCAAAUAGAUACCAAAUCUAGGAUUAUGCUUUCUAUUUCUUUAUAGUAGAGAUGGAUUUUCACCAAUUUAUGAAGCAUACACACUUGAUCUGUUUGCGCUAUCCUAACCAGCUAGGUCUUCUACCCUGCUUGAGGCCUCCUUUCUCACUGUGGCAGUCAAUUCCAGACUCUAAUAACGGGGUUUUCGUGAGUGAGUGGCCCGGACAGCAGCCUUGGACCUGAUGCCCCUCCCCACCUUCAUGCCAUGACUAUGACCAAUGACAAAGAAUCACCAUCCCUGGAGACAGAUUUUCAACUUUCAUUUGUCUGGGAAUUCUACUAUAAAUUUUGAAUAAGUGUCAAUCAGCUUCAACAAUAACCAAUAGGUCAAUGACUAAUAAAAACACUACUGGAAGUUUUGGUUUAAUAGUGCUAGUGAUCAAAUUUAAGUCUUCAUGAAUGCUAAGCAAUCUUUUUUAAAGGGAGCAGUCUUUCCAGUCCCAGAAUGUUUGGGCUUUAUUUACAUGUGGAAUUCCCUUUCCUCACUAAGCCCCAGGUAGGAGAGCCUAGCAUGACAGACAGAUUCUGAAUUAGCCUUAGGUCUUUGUCUUUCCAUGCUCACAUCCUUCCUGUACACACUCUGUUGAGGUGCUUCCCUGGCUCCCAGCUUGAUGCCAAGAAAGGCCUUAUUGGUGUUGUUGUGGCCUCUGAGGACUGAUUGGUGUGCUGGCAUCCCACAAAUAAGCACAUCACAUUGCCUUUGCAUCCUUUAAAAUGAUGAGUGUGUGGCUCAUGUCUUUGAUAAGUAUGUAGAACACACAUGAAAAAAUACUCAAUCUUAUU
This is a long non-coding RNA of Mesocricetus auratus (golden hamster), 1623 nucleotides long. RefSeq lists it as uncharacterized. The transcript is spliced from 5 exons. Lineage: Eukaryota; Metazoa; Chordata; Mammalia; Rodentia; Cricetidae. The record is from RefSeq and is a predicted model, not a curated record.